CUGCCUUAACAAUAUCAAGUUUGGUUAUUUUAACUCCGUUACUUACUAGAGCUGAAUUUCGGAUAUUGAGUUCAGUUCAUUUAUGCUGGUAUAAGCCAAUCUAUUAUAUCAAAUUUUUGAACUGUGAAUUAUUGAAAGAGAAAUUGUCAUAGAGUUUGUUGUUUCACUUCCCUACUUCUUUUAGGUUGGUCCCUUUCCUUUUCUGAACUAAUUUUCGAAUUAACUAACUUAGAUUAAAAUGCUGGUUGUGCUCGGGGAACUUGGUGGCCGCGAUGAGUAUUCCCUUGUGGUAGUCCUGAAACAAGGUAAAAUUAGCAAACAUGUGGUUGCUUGGCUCAGUGGAACGUACUAUGAAUUUGAACCAAUAACUCUUGUCGCCGAGGAGGGAAAGAUUUAUCCUGUAAAGGAAGUUAAGUUAAGCCUCCACAAAUCCCUGAGGAUCCUAAUACUGCUAUUAAGAGUGGAAAAGUCCAAGCGCCAACUCAUUAUUUCUACAGUUUCCGAUGUCAGAGGUUUGCUAGCAAUUGGUCCCCGAUUUGGUGAGGCUAUUGAUGAUGCUACCCGAUCCUUUAACAAAGCUUAUGACAAGGUUAGUUCUAAUGAGUGUUUUACCACGCACAAGAGAAUACACACGCCGUUUGAUUAGCUAAUGGUUUCUGAAUCUAUCGGCUUUAACAGAACCCUACGACAUAAAAAAUUGUCAAAUUUUGUGAUGCCUAUCAUUGCAUCAGAUAAAGACAUUUUUUUGGUUAGAAUAGCUGGAAGCCUGGAACUAAUAAAACCGGGGUAUUUUAACCAUAACAUUCCAGAAAGUGAUAUAGGAUGACUAAUUAUGUUUGUUUAGGUCAUCAAGAAAUCAGCAACCUCUGAGUUCUCCGCCACUUGGGUAAUCAAUCCCAUACAGUUGCUAAAAACUCGACCUUGAGAGUAUAUUCUUUGUGGAGUUGUACUCAUCUGAAACUCAAAACUUGGGGAGAGACUUAUUAACUAUGUUAUUUACAAGGUAAAGCUUGUUAAUUUGUUGCAAAGAUAUGAAUUGCAUUUUCAUAUUUAUACUUUCGGCUUCUCAUUUGUGUCACUGACAAUGCUGUCAUGAUGAUACUUUAUUGUUUGCCAUUUGAGGUUGUCUGUCCAUUUCAUCAUUAUUACCAAGUUGCGCUGUGGUAGUUGAGUUCCUUUCAUAAUGUGGUAUUUUUUCCCUAUGAUGCUUAAAUGGAUUUAAUAUUUUAGAAAUGAAGGAGUGGUGUUGUGUGUGUAUAUUCUGUCAUUUUUUUUAGGCGACAAGCAAUAAUUCAAAUAAGU
This is an RNA transcript of Rhododendron vialii, 1302 nucleotides long. It is a transcript of the gene named ATP-citrate synthase beta chain protein 1-like, with no coding region annotated. The record is from RefSeq and is a predicted model, not a curated record. Lineage: Eukaryota; Viridiplantae; Streptophyta; Magnoliopsida; Ericales; Ericaceae. The transcript is spliced from 4 exons.